UAGUCAUAUGCUUGUCUCAGAGAUUAAGCCAUGCAUGUCUAAGUAUAAGCGAUCUUAUACAGCGAAACUGCGAAUGGCUCAUUAAAUCAGUUAUAGUCUACUUGAUCGUAUCUUCUUACAUGGAUAACCGUAGUAAAUCUAGAGCUAAUACAUGCUAAAAAUCCCGGACGCGGCAACGCGGAAGGGACGAGUUUAUUAGAUUAAAAACCGACGCCUCUCCGCGAGGGGAGGUAGCACAGGUGAUUCACAGUAACCGAUCGGAUCGUCGGCCCCGCCGACGACGAUGCAUACGAGUUUCUGCCCUAUCAACUUUAGAUGGUAGAGUAUCGGUCUACCAUGGUCGUAACGGGUGACGGGGGAUUAGGGUUCGAUUCCGGAGAGGGAGCCUGAGAAACGGCUACCACUUCCAAGGAAGGCAGCAGGCGCGCAAAUUACCCAAUCCCGACACGGGGAGGUAGUGACAAGAAAUACCAUUGUAAUGUCUCCUCGAGAGGCUACGAUGGAAGAGUCAAUAU
RNAcentral lists this ribosomal RNA (515 nucleotides) under uncultured eukaryote. RNAcentral describes it as "SSU rRNA". It matches the Rfam family "Eukaryotic small subunit ribosomal RNA", at positions 21 to 525 of the family's 1831-position model. The record is from RNAcentral.